UUGAAAUAUUGUGUUUUAUCAUCUUUAAGAAAGAAAUCAAACAAGACAUGAUUAUUUCCACAAUUAGAACAAAGCCUAUUUUGAAACUGGCAGAAAUAUGUUUGGCAUAAUAUGGUAAUAACUUGUGAUACUUUAAUCAUAUUUGCUUGGAAAUCCUUAAUCACACUGGCUUUCAUUGUCCCUAACACAUUGACUCUUAAUAUCCCCAACACAAUGGCUUUCAGUGCUCCAAGCUCAUUGACUUUCAAUGUUCCAAGCUCAUUGCUUUCAAUACACCUAUCAUAUCGGCUUGCAGAGCCUCCUUUGCAUUGGUUUCCAGUAUCUGGCAAUCAGGUCUUGG
Pelobates cultripes (western spadefoot toad) is the source of this 340-nucleotide non-coding RNA. The record is from the annotation of a GenBank genome assembly. Lineage: Eukaryota; Metazoa; Chordata; Amphibia; Anura; Pelobatidae.